AGAGUUUGAUCCUGGCUCAGAGUGAACGCUGGCGGCGUGCCUAACACAUGCAAGUCGAACGAUGAAACCUAGCUUGCUAGGUGGAUUAGUGGCGCACGGGUGAGUAAUAGAUAGCUAAUAUGCCUCUUGGAGAGGGACAACAGUUGGAAACGACUGCUAAUACCUCAUACUCCUGCUUUUCAUAAGAAGAGUAGGGAAACGAUUUUUUGCCAAGAGAUUAGGCUAUCUCCUAUCAGGUAGUUGGUGAGGUAAAGGCUCACCAAGCCAAUGACGGGUAUCUGGUUUGAGAGGAUGAUCAGACACACUGGAACUGAGACACGGUCCAGACUCCUACGGGAGGCAGCAGUGGGGAAUAUUGCACAAUGGAGGGAACUCUGAUGCAGCAACGCCGCGUGGAGGAUGACGGUUUUCGGAUUGUAAACUCCUUUUAUAUGAGAAGAUAAUGACGGUAUCAUAUGAAUAAGCACCGGCUAACUCCGUGCCAGCAGCCGCGGUAAUACGGAGGGUGCAAGCGUUACUCGGAAUCACUGGGCGUAAAGAGAGUGUAGGCGGCUUUACAAGUCUUGUGUGAAAUCCUAUGGCUUAACCAUAGAACUGCAUGAGAAACUGUAAAACUAGAGUAUGGAAGAGGAAGAUGGAAUUAGUGGUGUAGGGGUAAAAUCCGUAGAGAUCACUAGGAAUACCGAAAGCGAAGGCGAUCUUCUGGGACAUUACUGACGCUGAGACUCGAAAGCGUGGGGAGCAAACGGGAUUAGAUACCCCGGUAGUCACGCCUAAACGAUGAAUGCUAGUCGUCGGGGAGCUGUCUCUUCGGUGAUGCAGUUAACACAUUAAGCAUUCCGCCUGGGGAGUACGGUCGCAAGAUUAAAACUCAAAGGAAUAGACGGGGACCCGCACAAGUGGUGGAGCAUGUGGUUUAAUUCGAAGAUACGCGAAGAACCUUACCCGGCCUUGAUAUCCCAAGAAUAGUCCAGAGACGGACUAGUGCUAGCUUGCUAGAACUUGGUGACAGGUGCUGCACGGCUGUCGUCAGCUCGUGUCGUGAGAUGUUGGGUUAAGUCCCGCAACGAGCGCAACCCCCGUGAAUAGUUGCUAACAGUUCGGCUGAGCACUCUAUUCAGACUGCCUUCGCAAGGAGGAGGAAGGUGGGGACGACGUCAAGUCAUCAUGGCCCUUAUGGCCGGGGCAACACACGUGCUACAAUGGUAUGUUACAAUGAGAGGCAAUACCGCGAGGUGGAGCAAAUCUAUAAAACAUAUCUCAGUUCGGAUUGUAGUCUGCAACUCGACUACAUGAAGCCGGAAUCACUAGUAAUCGCAGAUCAGCUAUGCUGCGGUGAAUACGUUCCCGGGUCUUGUACUCACCGCCCGUCACACCAUGGGAGUUGAUUUCACCCGAAGCCGGGAAGCUAACCUUCGGGAGGCUACCGUCCACGGUGGAAUCAGCGACUGGGGUGAAGUCGUAACAAGGUAACCGUA
RNAcentral lists this ribosomal RNA (1478 nucleotides) under uncultured bacterium. Its description in RNAcentral is "bacterial SSU rRNA". It matches the Rfam family "Bacterial small subunit ribosomal RNA". The record is from RNAcentral.